ACAGGCAUCGCAUGAGCCCCUUCUUAGGGCAAGGGACUAAAUCCAACAAGAGGUACCAUGUUGUUUUCAUUCCCCAAGGAUUUCACAGGUCUGAGAUCCACCUGCUGCCCAGGGGUACUGCGGAAAUGGGUCACUGGUGUGCCAUGACCCUGGGCAUGUCCUCAGCCGUCAGGUCAGUCAGGAUGCAGCCUGGGACACAGGAGUGCACUUCAGAUGGUCUCCCUUGCUGAGCUGUGAGCUCCCGGUGCUCAGGUGGAAUCUUCCUCUUCUUGGCAUGGACUUGAGCAACCCGCCCUGCUCCUGUCCUGCAGCCACAUCUACAUCACACGUGCAGAAGACGAGGCUGAGAAGGGACUCCGUAUUAUCAAGGCAAGUGUGGGACGCAGCACGCAGACCAACUUCGGAAUACAGAAAACACCCUCGACCAUGUCCGAGUGAGGCUCAUUUCCCCUGAGGAUGGCACUAAACGCAACAAAGGUAACGGGGCCUCCGAAGGAAGGACUUGUGGCAUUAAAGUACCCGGUCCCCUGGUACAGCAGAGGUGCCAGGCUGGCAGCAGUUACUUAGAAUGGGCUUCAUUUGAUAUAUGAGAGUGAAAACCAGGAAAUGCGGCCCAGUUUCUCUUUUGAAAUCCCUCCCUUGGUUAGAUUUGAAUCUCAUGUCUCUAUGCUUUGUUUCAAACUAAAUAUCAAAAGUCUCUCGCUUCUGUUAUCUCUCUGACAGUUCAAUAUAUUGUAUUAAAAACUCUCCGGAGACAAAAAAAAAUGCACUUUCAAGUGGUGUUUAGAAACUUGCCACCCCUUGCCUUUCUUCAUUUCUGAAUCUCUUGGAUGCUUCAUAAAACAAAGGAGAA
Balaenoptera ricei (Rice's whale) is the source of this 853-nucleotide long non-coding RNA. RefSeq lists it as uncharacterized. The record is from RefSeq and is a predicted model, not a curated record. Lineage: Eukaryota; Metazoa; Chordata; Mammalia; Artiodactyla; Balaenopteridae. The transcript is spliced from 3 exons.